UGGGGAAUUUUGCACAAUGGGGGAAACCCUAAUGCAGCGACGCCGCGUGAUUUAGAAGGCCUUCGGGUUGUAAAAAUCUUUUUUACGGGAUGAAAAUGACAGUACCGUAAGAAUAAGGUCCGGCUAAAUACGUGCCAGCAGCCGCGGUAAUACGUAUGGACCGAGCGUUGUCCGGAAUCAUUGGGCGUAAAGGGUACGUAGGCGGCCUAGUAAGUUAGAAGUGAAAUAAUAUAGCUCAACUAUAUAAAGCUUUUAAAACUGCUAGGCUUGAGAGAUGGAAGGGAAAGUGGAAUUCCUAGUGUAGCGGUGAAAUGCGCAGAUAUUAGGAAGAAUACCGGUGGCGAAGGCGACUUUCUGGUCAUCAUCUGACGCUGAGGUACGAAAGCGUGGGUAGCAAACAGG
Molecule: ribosomal RNA, 402 nt
Filed under: bacterium
Lineage: Bacteria
Description: partial 16S ribosomal RNA
Rfam family: Bacterial small subunit ribosomal RNA
Source: RNAcentral